Molecule: ribosomal RNA, 253 nt
Filed under: uncultured bacterium
Lineage: Bacteria
Description: partial 16S ribosomal RNA
Rfam family: Bacterial small subunit ribosomal RNA
Source: RNAcentral
UACGGAGGGUGCAAGCGUUAUCCGGAUUCACUGGGUUUAGAGGGUGCGUAGGCGGGCAGGUAAGUCAGUGGUGAAAUCUCCGGGCUUAACCCGGAAACUGCCGUUGAUACUAUCUGUCUUGAAUAUCGUGGAGGUAAGCGGAAUAUGUCAUGUAGCGGUGAAAUGCUUAGAUAUGACAUAGAACACCCAUUGCGAAGGCAGCUUACUACACGAUCAUUGACGCUGAGGCACGAAAGCGUGGGGAGCAAACAGG